This 497-nucleotide ribosomal RNA is filed under the name uncultured bacterium. RNAcentral describes it as "partial 16S ribosomal RNA". It matches the Rfam family "Bacterial small subunit ribosomal RNA", at positions 28 to 507 of the family's 1533-position model. The record is from RNAcentral.
GAUGAACGCUGGCGGCGUGCCUAAUACAUGCAAGUCGAGCGAACGGACGAGAAGCUUUCUUCUCUGAUGUUAGCGGCGGACGGGUGAGUAACACGUGGAUAACCUACCUAUAAGACUGGGAUAACUUCGGGAAACCGGAUCUAAUACCGGAUGAUAUUUUGAACCGCAUGGUUCAAAAGUGAAAGACGGUCUUGCUGUCACUUAUAGAUGCAUCCGCGCUGCAUUAGCUAGUUGGUAAGGUAACGGCUUACCAAGGCAACGAUGCAUAGCCGACCUGAGAGGGUGAUCGGCCACACUGGAACUGAGACACGGUCCAGACUCCUACGGGAGGCAGCAGUAGGGAAUCUUCCGCAAUGGGCGAAAGCCUGACGGAGCAACGCCGCGUGAGUGAUGAAGGUCUUCGGAUCGUAAAACUCUGUUAUUAGGGAAGAACAUAUGUGUAAGUAACUGUGCACAUCUUGACGGUACCUAAUCAGAAAGCCACGGCUAACUACGUG